GGGCCCGACGUCGCAUGCUCCCGGCCGCCAUGGCGGCCGCGGGAAUUCGAUAGAGUUUGAUCAUGGCUCAGAUUGAACGCUGGCGGCAGGCCUAACACAUGCAAGUCGAGCGGAAACGACACUAACAAUCCUUCGGGUGCGUUAAUGGGCGUCGAGCGGCGGACGGGUGAGUAAUGCCUAGGAAAUUGCCUUGAUGUGGGGGAUAACCAUUGGAAACGAUGGCUAAUACCGCAUGAUGCCUACGGGCCAAAGAGGGGGACCUUCGGGCCUCUCGCGUCAAGAUAUGCCUAGGUGGGAUUAGCUAGUUGGUGAGGUAAUGGCUCACCAAGGCGACGAUCCCUAGCUGGUCUGAGAGGAUGAUCAGCCACACUGGAACUGAGACACGGUCCAGACUCCUACGGGAGGCAGCAGUGGGGAAUAUUGCACAAUGGGCGAAAGCCUGAUGCAGCCAUGCCGCGUGUAUGAAGAAGGCCUUCGGGUUGUAAAGUACUUUCAGUUGUGAGGAAGGGUGUGUAGUUAAUAGCUGCGCAUCUUGACGUUAGCAACAGAGGAAGCACCGGCUAACUCCGUGCCAGCAGCCGCGGUAAUACGGAGGGUGCGAGCGUUAAUCGGAAUUACUGGGCGUAAAGCGCAUGCAGGUGGUUCAUUAAGUCAGAUGUGAAAGCCCGGGGCUCAACCUCGGAACUGCAUUUGAAACUGGUGAACUAGAGUACUGUAGAGGGGGGUAGAAUUUCAGGUGUAGCGGUGAAAUGCGUAGAGAUCUGAAGGAAUACCAGUGGCGAAGGCGGCCCCCUGGACAGAUACUGACACUCAGAUGCGAAAGCGUGGGGAGCAAACAGGAUUAGAUACCCUGGUAGUCCACGCCGUAAACGAUGUCUACUUGGAGGUUGUGGCCUUGAGCCGUGGCUUUCGGAGCUAACGCGUUAAGUAGACCGCCUGGGGAGUACGGUCGCAAGAUUAAGACUCAAAUGAAUUGACGGGGGCCCGCACAAGCGGUGGAGCAUGUGGUUUAAUUCGAUGCAACGCGAAGAACCUUACCUACUCUUGACAUCCAGAGAAGCCAGCGGAGACGCAGGUGUGCCUUCGGGAGCUCUGAGACAGGUGCUGCAUGGCUGUCGUCAGCUCGUGUUGUGAAAUGUUGGGUUAAGUAAUCACUAGUGAAUUCGCGGCCGCCUGCAGGUCGACCAUAUGGGAGAGCUCCCAACGCGUUGGAUGCAUAGCUUGAGUAUUCUAUAGUGUCACCUAAAUAGCUUGGCGUAAUC
Molecule: ribosomal RNA, 1262 nt
Filed under: uncultured bacterium
Lineage: Bacteria
Description: partial 16S ribosomal RNA
Rfam family: Bacterial small subunit ribosomal RNA
Source: RNAcentral